Molecule: ribosomal RNA, 330 nt
Filed under: Triticum aestivum (bread wheat)
Lineage: Eukaryota; Viridiplantae; Streptophyta; Magnoliopsida; Poales; Poaceae
Description: partial small subunit ribosomal RNA
Source: RNAcentral
AUGCACCAGUCACCGAUGAUGCUUGCUAAAAUUCCACAUGUUGUGGUGGCGACGACGAACUUGCCUACAUGUGCACAGAGACAUCUUCUAGCCCCUUGUCAAGGCAAGGAGCAGACUGAUUUUUGUGUACAACCUGGCUUCUUCUUGAAAGGGUUUGCGUUCAGUUUAUGGCUGGUUGUUGGGGUGUUGGAUGAUGCGCAGGCAUGGGUCACCAAUGCUUUCUAUGAUCCAUGGAACGGUAAUGACUGCCUAAUUCACAAGGGAUGGAUUUUGAUUGUUAAUAUAAUUCAGUACUGUAUCCAAACUUUUCUGAAUCAGUUAUCCGUGUAA